RNAcentral lists this ribosomal RNA (253 nucleotides) under uncultured bacterium. Its description in RNAcentral is "partial 16S ribosomal RNA". It matches the Rfam family "Bacterial small subunit ribosomal RNA", at positions 524 to 776 of the family's 1533-position model. The record is from RNAcentral.
UACGUAGGGCGCAAGCGUUGUCCGGAAUUAUUGGGCGUAAAGCGCUCGUAGGCGGCUUGUCGCGUCGAUUGUGAAAGCCCGGGGCUUAACUCCGGGUCUGCAGUCGAUACGGGCAGGCUAGAGUGUGGUAGGGGAGAUCGGAAUUCCUGGUGUAGCGGUGAAAUGCGCAGAUAUCAGGAGGAACACCGGUGGCGAAGGCGGAUCUCUGGGCCAUUACUGACGCUGAGGAGCGAAAGCGUGGGGAGCGAACAGG